UACAUGUGGGGCAAGCGUUGUUCGGAAUUACUGGGCGUAAAGCGUGCGCAGGCGGUUCGCCAAGUCAGGUGUGAAAUCCCCGGGCUUAACCUGGGAAUUGCGCUUGAAACUAGCGGGCUUGAGUGUGGCAGAGGGGGGUGGAAUUCCACGUGUAGCAGUGAAAUGCGUAGAGAUGUGGAGGAACACCGAUGGCGAAGGCAGCCCCCUGGGUCAACACUGACGCUCAUGCACGAAAGCGUGGGGAGCAAACAGG
RNAcentral lists this ribosomal RNA (253 nucleotides) under uncultured bacterium. Its description in RNAcentral is "partial 16S ribosomal RNA". It matches the Rfam family "Bacterial small subunit ribosomal RNA", at positions 524 to 776 of the family's 1533-position model. The record is from RNAcentral.